This 258-nucleotide long non-coding RNA is filed under the name Lathyrus oleraceus (garden pea). Its description in RNAcentral is "Pisum sativum (pea) long non-coding RNA (PSAT_LNC024670)". Lineage: Eukaryota; Viridiplantae; Streptophyta; Magnoliopsida; Fabales; Fabaceae. The record is from RNAcentral.
AGGUCUUUCCUCUUACUCAAAUAUUUUUUUUUACUAUUUUAUUAAAUAGUAACGUCGGUAUGAGCUGACACUAAGUCCAUUCCCCAUUAUUUAUUUAUUUAUUAAAAUAAUAAUGUCAUUCUUAUCCGAUGUUAAUUCAUUAACCUGCGAGAAUAUUUUUUCCCCAUAAUUUGUAUUUUCUUUAGUAAAAAAUCAAAGAAAAAAACUCUAAACCUCAUAAUUCACUUGUUCUUCUCUUUCAUUCCCACUUUUCCUUUC